CGGAGGAAAAGAAACCAACAGGGAUUGCCUUAGUAACGGCGAGUGAAGCGGCAAAAGCUCAAAUUUGAAAUCUGGCACCUUUGGUGUCCGAGUUGUAAUUUGAAGAAGGUAACUUUGAGUUUGGUCCUUGCAUAUGUUCCUUGGAACAGGACGUCAUAGAGGGUGAGAAUCCCGUUCUGUGAGGUGGCCAUUCUCUUGUAAAGUGCUUUCGAAGAGUCGAGUUGUUUGGGAAUGCAGCUCUAAGUGGGUGGUAAAUUCCAUCUAAAGCUAAAUAUUGGCGAGAGACCGAUAGCGAACAAGUACAGUGAUGGAAAGAUGAAAAGAACUUUGAAAAGAGAGUGAAAAAGUACGUGAAAUUGUUGAAAGGGAAGGGCUUGAAAUCAGACUUGGUAUUCAGUGAUCAACUAUCUUUCGGGAUUGUGCACUCGCUGUUUACUGGGCCAGUAUCGGUUUCGACGGUGAGAUAAUGACUUUGGAAUGUGGCUCCUCGGAGUGUUAUAGCCUUUGUUGAUAUCACCAGUUGGGACCGAGGACCGCGCUUUUUGCUAGGAUACUGGCGUAAUGAUUUUAAGCCACCCGUCUU
This 583-nucleotide ribosomal RNA is filed under the name [Candida] sp. W382. Its description in RNAcentral is "eukaryotic LSU rRNA". It matches the Rfam family "Eukaryotic large subunit ribosomal RNA", at positions 51 to 655 of the family's 3401-position model. The record is from RNAcentral. Lineage: Eukaryota; Fungi; Ascomycota; Saccharomycetes; Saccharomycetales.